Molecule: ribosomal RNA, 253 nt
Filed under: uncultured bacterium
Lineage: Bacteria
Description: partial 16S ribosomal RNA
Rfam family: Bacterial small subunit ribosomal RNA
Source: RNAcentral
UACAGAGGGUGCAAGCGUUAAUCGGAAUUACUGGGCGUAAAGCGCGCGUAGGUGGUUUGUUAAGUUGGAUGUGAAAUCCCCGGGCUCAACCUGGGAACUGCAUCCAAAACUGGCAAGCUAGAGUAUGGUAGAGGGUGGUGGAAUUUCCUGUGUAGCGGUGAAAUGCGUAGAUAUAGGAAGGAACACCAGUGGCGAAGGCGACCACCUGGACUGAUACUGACACUGAGGUGCGAAAGCGUGGGUAGCGAACAGG